RNAcentral lists this non-coding RNA (723 nucleotides) under Pongo abelii (Sumatran orangutan). Lineage: Eukaryota; Metazoa; Chordata; Mammalia; Primates; Hominidae. The record is from RNAcentral.
GAACACAAAAUGGCGACACGUGGUUAGCAUUCGUCGCCAACGAGAAAUUGGGGUCGGCCCGAAAGCUCUAGAAUGCACCCCUAUUCCUCCCCGGGGCCAUUCCCGCUCAACGAGUUUUAUGACCUAAAAAACCCCACAGGCUGGUCUGAAGAGGAAGACACUUAAAGAUGAAGUGCUUAAUUCAAGGUCACAGAAUGUCGGGGAUGGACCUCCAGAUUUCCUUACUGGAAAACAAGCUCAGGGCUCCCACUGAUUGUACAUUAUGGUGAGACGUGGUCUUGUAACACAGUGGUUAAGAAUGUGACUUUGGAGCCAGCCUGCUAGGGGCUGAAUUCUGACUCAGCCAUUUAUUAACUGUGUGACCUUAGGUCAUAGAAUUUUCCACACUCCUUGACGGAGGUUCUUAACCCUUAUCCAUCAGCAUUCUCAGACAGCACCUCCGGUUAGGGACAGUAUCUGACCGUCCGACAUCCCUGCAGCCCCCAUGCUGUCACACAGACUCAGCCUCAGGUAGAUGGUUUCCGUAGAUGGUGGCUUUCUUUGGACCCUUGAUAUCAACCAGUUACUAUUUGCUCCUGCAACCACCGCUCUACUUUCUGUCUCUAUGAACUUGACUACUCUAGACACCUCAUCUCAGCAAGGCCCACAUUCUCCCGGUGAAGCCACAGAACCACAGGGAGAAAUCCAUGGACUUGGCCUCGCUCUCUAGGGGACCAGAUGUGC